This 608-nucleotide small RNA is filed under the name Cellulosilyticum lentocellum DSM 5427. Lineage: Bacteria; Bacillati; Bacillota; Clostridia; Lachnospirales; Cellulosilyticaceae. The record is from RNAcentral.
GCGCUUUUCAAAAAACGAGAUGCGGUAUUCUAGUCAAUCUGUUGUGUUUUGAAGACGGGCCUAAAAAUCCGUUUAAGGGCAUAUCGAUGAAGUUCCUGGUGUUGGCUUGUAACGCCCCGUUGUGGGCUGAUACUGGGGGUUAAGGUUUGUGGGCGAUCCAUAAGGGCAUAUGGGCGUUGACCCGCUUACCGUGGAGACCUAUGCUUGUGCUUAUCCCUAUGGGGAUAAUGUAUGACUUAGGAUGAAACCUGCCAUGCGGUGUUAGCUGUGGGCAGAGUAGCCUUCCUUGAGUGAAGGAAGGGGGACAUCCAUUUACUAGGGGGUUCUUUGGCCGAAGAACUUUCCUAGAUUGUGGAUAGAAACCUGAUUCGCAAAAGAGGAUAGGAACAUUAUAGAUUGUUUGAGGAAAACUCCUAGACCGUUUGAAAAAGGUAGUGUUUGGAUUACAGUGUGGUUUUUAAGGCGAUCUGGCGCUAAGCCCUAGGCUUAGAAGUCUUUUUAAAGGGAAACCGCUCAUUUGGCGACAAAAGAGUAGGGACUUGGGAAAACCUGCUAGACUAUAUGCCACAAAAUUUACAAACACUAUCAUCUCGAUUUUUGAGAAGUGG